UGAGGAAUAUUGGUCAAUGGGCGAGAGCCUGAACCAGCCAAGUAGCGUGAAGGAUGACCGCCCUAUGGGUUGUAAACUUCUUUUAUAUGGGAAUAAAGGGUGCCACGUGUGGCAUUUUGUAUGUACCAUAUGAAUAAGGAUCGGCUAACUCCGUGCCAGCAGCCGCGGUAAUACGGAGGAUCCGAGCGUUAUCCGGAUUUAUUGGGUUUAAAGGGAGCGUAGGUGGACAUGUAAGUCAGUUGUGAAAGUUUGCGGCUCAACCGUAAAAUUGCAGUUGAAACUGCGUGUCUUGAGUACAGUAGAGGUGGGCGGAAUUCGUGGUGUAGCGGUGAAAUGCUUAGAUAUCACGAAGAACUCCGAUUGCGAAGGCAGCCUGCUAAGCUGCAACUGACAUUGAGGCUCGAAAGUGUGGGUAUCAAACAGGAUUAGAUACCCUGGUAGUCCACACGGUAAACGAUGAAUACUCGCUGUUUGCGAUAUACGGCAAGCGGCCAAGCGAAAGCGUUAAGUAUUCCACCUGGGGAGUACGCCGGCAACGGUGAAACUCAAAGGAAUUGACGGGGGCCCGCACAAGCGGAGGAACAUGUGGUUUAAUUCGAUGAUACGCGAGGAACCUUACCCGGGCUUAAAUUGCAGAUGAAUUACGGUGAAAGCCGUAAGCCGCAAGGCAUCUGUGAAGGUGCUGCAUGGUUGUCGUCAGCUCGUGCCGUGAGGUGUCGGCUUAAGUGCCAUAACGAGCGCAACCCUUGUUGUCAGUUACUAACAGGUCAUGCUGAGGACUCUGACAAGACUGCCAUCGUAAGAUGUGAGGAAGGUGGGGAUGACGUCAAAUCAGCACGGCCCUUACGUCCGGGGCUACACACGUGUUACAAUGGCGUAACAAAGGGAAGCGAGCCUGCGAGGGUGAGCAAAUCCCAAAAAUAACGUCCCAGUUCGGACUGUAGUCUGCAACCCGACUACACGAAGCUGGAAUCGCUAGUAAUCGCGAAUCAGAAUGUCGCGGUGAAUACGUUCCC
Molecule: ribosomal RNA, 1016 nt
Filed under: uncultured bacterium
Lineage: Bacteria
Description: bacterial SSU rRNA
Rfam family: Bacterial small subunit ribosomal RNA
Source: RNAcentral